Molecule: microRNA, 21 nt
Filed under: Arabidopsis thaliana (thale cress)
Lineage: Eukaryota; Viridiplantae; Streptophyta; Magnoliopsida; Brassicales; Brassicaceae
Also listed under: 2 other names
Description: ath-miR172d-5p
Gene: ath-miR172d-5p
Source: miRBase by way of RNAcentral
GCAACAUCUUCAAGAUUCAGA